GACGAACGCUGGCGGCGUGCUUAACACAUGCAAGUCGAACGGAAAGGCCCUGCUUUUGUGGGGUGCUCGAGUGGCGAACGGGUGAGUAACACGUGAGUAACCUGCCCUUGACUUUGGGAUAACUUCAGGAAACUGGGGCUAAUACCGGAUAGGAGCUCCUGCUGCAUGGUGGGGGUUGGAAAGUUUCGGCGGUUGGGGAUGGGCUCGCGGCUUAUCAGCUUGUUGGUGGGGUAGUGGCUUACCAAGGCUUUGACGGGUAGCCGGCCUGAGAGGGUGACCGGCCACAUUGGGACUGAGAUACGGCCCAGACUCCUACGGGAGGCAGCAGUGGGGAAUAUUGCACAAUGGGCGGAAGACUGAUGCAGCAACGCCGCGUGCGGGAUGACGGCCUUCGGGUUGUAAACCGCUUUCGCCUGUGACGAAGCGUGAGUGACGGUAAUGGGUAAAGAAGCACCGGCUAACUACG
This 466-nucleotide ribosomal RNA is filed under the name uncultured bacterium. RNAcentral describes it as "partial 16S ribosomal RNA". It matches the Rfam family "Bacterial small subunit ribosomal RNA", at positions 28 to 505 of the family's 1533-position model. The record is from RNAcentral.